This 135-nucleotide ribosomal RNA is filed under the name uncultured bacterium. RNAcentral's name for it is "partial 16S ribosomal RNA". It matches the Rfam family "Bacterial small subunit ribosomal RNA", at positions 355 to 507 of the family's 1533-position model. The record is from RNAcentral.
UGGGGAAUUUUCCACAAUGGACGAAAGUCUGAUGGAGCAACGCCGCGUGCAGGAUGAAGGCUUUCGGGUCGUAAACUGCUUUUAUAGGUGAAGAUUAUGACGGUAACCUAUGAAUAAGGAUCGGCUAAUUACGUG